RNAcentral lists this small RNA (437 nucleotides) under Pongo abelii (Sumatran orangutan). RNAcentral describes it as "processed transcript". The record is from RNAcentral. Lineage: Eukaryota; Metazoa; Chordata; Mammalia; Primates; Hominidae.
AAAGGCACAGGCUCUCUGGACACUUACCUAUCUUUUUUUUUUUACUUAUAGUGGCCUUUGGUUUCUCAUUCAUCUCUUUUAACUUCUUAAACAGAAUAUGGUGCACCUGAAGAGUGGGAACUCAAAACACAGCAGCCACUCAUGCUUAAAAACCAGCUACUAACACUGAAGAUAAAGUACCCUCAUCAACUUGAUCAGAAAGUCCUGGAGAAACAACUGCCGGGCUCCAUGACAAUUCAAAAGGUGAAGGGAUUGCUGUCACGUCUUCUCAAAGUUCCUGUGUCAGACCUUCUGUUGUCCUAUGAAAGUCCCCAAGUAAGUUGCCCAGCAAAAUACAAAGUCAAGCUUAGUCCUCAUAUUAUGACAUUAAACUGUCUCUAGAUAGCAACAGUUUGAUUCUAAAUGGAGACCAUAGGUCUGUUUGAUUUUAAGGGUAA